CCAUUUUGAAUCAGCGAGCCCACAUGCAUUCUCCGAGGCGAUGCAUCAAGUCACCGAGCCCACGUGUCUCUUCAAGAUGCCAAAUGUACUCAUUGAGACCACGUGCAUUCUCCGAGGUAAUGCAUCAAAUUACCGAGCCCACGUGUCUCUUUUAGAUGCCAAAUGUACUCAUUGAGACCACGUGCAUUUUCCGAGGUAAUGCAUCAAAUUACCGAGCCCACGUGUCUCUUUUAGGAUGCCACACUUAAUCACCGAGCCACAUGCAUUCUCCAAGGCGACAUACUUCGUCACCGAGCCAUGUGCAUUCUCCGAGGUGAUAUAUCUAAUCAUCAAGCCCCGUGCAUUCUCCAAGGCGACGUACUAAUCAUCGAGCCACGUGCAUUCUCCGAAGUGAUAUACCAAAUCACCGAGCCACGUGCAUUCUCCGAGAUGACGUACUAUUCACCGAGCCACGUGCAUUCUCCAAGAUGACGUACUAUUCACCGAGCCACGUGCCUUUCGUGAUGAUUCAUCCCAUUUCUAAAGUAAUUAUCCACAAUUAAAUCAAUUCAGCACAAAUUAAAGCUCAAUUAAAUAAACGGACUGCGCCACGAUGAUCAGCACGAGAUUUCGGUCGUCGGCCAUCUCAAACUUAAUUUCCAAAAAAAAAAAAUUAAUUAAUUAAUUUCGAAAAUUAAUUAUUAAAUAUUAAAAAUUCUGUUUAGCUCAAAAUAAGGCCCAAUUAAAUAAACGGACUUCGCCACAGUCAUCAGCAUAAUUUUCCGGUCACGGUCCAUCUCAAUUGAAUUUCCGGAAAAUAAAUAAUUAAUUAAUAAAUUUCGAGAAUUAAUAAUUAAUUAUAAUAAAUCCAAUUUAGCUCAAAUUGGUGCUCAGUUAAAUAAACAGACUUCACCACAGUCAUCAGCAUAAAAUUCCGGUUCCAGACCAUCUCAGUUAAAUUUUUGAAAAAUAAAUAAUUAUUUAAUUUAAUUCCGAAAAUUAAUAUUUAAAUACUAAAAAUUCCACUUAGGCCCGAAAAGCCUAAUUGGAGCCCACUAAGGGUCGGGAAAAAUCCCGAGGUACUUCCAAUAAUUAGUAUACCACGUCUACUUGAUAAUUGCGCAAUCAAUUUAUCUAAAUCGCAUCACAAUUGACUAAUAAUUGCUAAUUUAUUAUAAUCUAACAACCUAAAUAUAAUUAAUUAAAUCUAAACCAACCUUAAGCAUAAUUAGCCAACUAAUUAGUGAGAUUAAUCACCAAAUCGCGCGCAAAUCAGAUCAAUCCGACGAGGGCGACACGAGGAACGAUUCUUCCCAAAGCACGGCUCGGGUUCGGAAACGGCCCAAAAGCGGGCCCGAACCAGCUAGAAACCCAUUUCGUGGGUUGCUGGACGGGGCUGGCCGGGGCUGCUCCGGUGGCCAAAACGGCGAGGGGAGGCCGGCGGAAGACGAGGGGGACGCCGGGGGGUGGCGCGGUGGCCGGAGGCGGCUGGUCGAGGCGAAACCGAGCUGAACAGAGGCCGAACGGCCUGUCUCGCACGGGGAAGGGGCGCCUGGGCGGAGGAGAGGGCAGGCGGUGCACGGCGGCGAGCGGCGGACGCGGGGCGGCGGUGCGGGCGGCGACGGCUCCGGCAAGCUGCAACCGUGCGGCUUCUUCUUCCUCGUCUCUGGUUUUCACGGGCGAGAAACGAGGGGAAGGGGGGCUUUCGGUCACGUGGGGGGAAAAGUGGGAGAGAAGAGAGGAGAGAGAAGAAGAGAUAAGAGAGAGAAGAGAUAGGGUUGAAUGGUCAAAGGGAG
This 1775-nucleotide long non-coding RNA is filed under the name Eucalyptus grandis. RNAcentral describes it as "long non-coding RNA (EGRA_LNC002060)". Lineage: Eukaryota; Viridiplantae; Streptophyta; Magnoliopsida; Myrtales; Myrtaceae. The record is from RNAcentral.